RNAcentral lists this transfer RNA (64 nucleotides) under Seison sp. MS-2015. Its description in RNAcentral is "tRNA-Asn". Lineage: Eukaryota; Metazoa; Rotifera; Pararotatoria; Seisonacea; Seisonidae. The record is from RNAcentral.
UGAAUUAUAGCUUAAUUAAAGUUUUUGAUUGUUACUCAAAAGAUAUAUUUUUUUAUUUUUUCAG